This 316-nucleotide ribosomal RNA is filed under the name uncultured Bulleidia sp. RNAcentral describes it as "bacterial SSU rRNA". It matches the Rfam family "Bacterial small subunit ribosomal RNA", at positions 28 to 339 of the family's 1533-position model. Lineage: Bacteria; Bacillati; Bacillota; Erysipelotrichia; Erysipelotrichales; Erysipelotrichaceae. The record is from RNAcentral.
GAUAAACGCUGGCGGCGUGCCUAAUACAUGCAAGUCGAACGAGGGAAGGCAAGCUUGCUUGCCGGAACGAGUGGCGAACGGGUGAGUAAUACAUAAGCAACCUGCCUGUAAGGACCGGGAUAAUGCCUGGAAACGGGUACUAAAACCGGAUAGGCAUAGAUGGGGCAUCCCAUUUAUGUUAAAGGUGAGAGACACAAACAGAUGGGCUUAUGGCGCAUUAGCCAGUUGGUGAGGUAACGGCCCACCAAAGCGAUGAUGCGUAGCCGGCCUGAGAGGGUGAACGGCCACAUUGGGACUGAGACACGGCCCAGACUCC